GACGAACGCUGGCGGCGUGCUUAACACAUGCAAGUCGAACGGAAAGUCUCUGCUUGUGUGGGGUGCUCGAGUGGCGAUCGUGUGUGUAACACGUGCGUAACCUGCCCGCGACGUUGGGAUGCCUUCUGCAAGCUGGUACCAAUACCGGAUAGCUGCUCCUGCUGCAUGGUGGGGGUUUGACAGUUGCUGCGGUGGGGGAUGGACUCGCGGCUUAUCAGCUUGUUGGUGGGGUAGUGGCUUACCAAGGCUUUGACGCGUAGCCGGCCUGAGAUGGUUACCGGACACAUUGGGACUGGAAUGCGGCACGGACUACUACGGGACGCAGGGGUGGGGAAUAGAGUAUUAUGGGAGGAAGCCUGAUGCAACAACGCCGCGUGGGGGAUGACGGCCAUCGGGUUGUAAUGCGCUUUCGCCUGUGACGAAGAGUGAGUGACGGUAAUGGGUAAAGAAGCACCGGCUAACUACGUG
Molecule: ribosomal RNA, 468 nt
Filed under: uncultured bacterium
Lineage: Bacteria
Description: partial 16S ribosomal RNA
Rfam family: Bacterial small subunit ribosomal RNA
Source: RNAcentral